Molecule: long non-coding RNA, 385 nt
Organism: Peromyscus eremicus (cactus mouse)
Lineage: Eukaryota; Metazoa; Chordata; Mammalia; Rodentia; Cricetidae
Exons: 3
Source: RefSeq, a predicted model, not a curated record
CGCGGGGCGGCCUGGGAAAGUCACCAGUCAGCAGCGCAGUGGCGGGAACCGCAGCCCGGCGGCCCUGGAACCUCCCAGGGUUUGUGGACUUUCAGUGCUAUGAUUGUGAACUUAGUGUAGAAGGUGUGGGAAUGUCUCGACCCUGCUCACAAGGCAUUUUGCAGGGAUCUGUUGGAGAACUGCAACAGUCUGGAUUCUGAGGGUGUUUUCUUCUUACGCUUUUGUUCCAUGCAAAGUUCCAGGUGCUUUCUGAAGAAUCUCUUUCUCCUAUGCAGCCUCACAAGGUCGGUCAGUCCUGCUCACCUGUGCAUCAGAACAAAGAGCCCUGGAUGGAGAAGAGAGAGGAGACAGUAGCCAAGGAUCCAGGUGUGUUAGAGGGUCUGAG